RNAcentral lists this long non-coding RNA (781 nucleotides) under Zonotrichia albicollis (white-throated sparrow). RNAcentral's name for it is "lncRNA (ENSZALG00000006107.1)". Lineage: Eukaryota; Metazoa; Chordata; Aves; Passeriformes; Passerellidae. The record is from RNAcentral.
GCCGAGUGAGGGCUCGGUCACCCCUGAAUGGGACCCCAGUGCUGGGGCCUGAGCAUCUCCUGUUCGCUGCCAGCCCAGGGCAGAGACUGGACGGGCCGGACAGUCAGUGAAUGCCACCGAAAAGGGGGUAAAGCCCCAGGGACUGCCGGGCACUGCUGAGAUGGCAAAGCCAAGGCGUGGGAGGGAUGACACGUACGAGCACGUUCCUGCUGCGGGCGAAGGAGCCUGGCCUGGGCACAUCGCCUUGAGGAGAUGUCAGGGAUGAUUGUUCUGUGCUUGGAGUACAGGCCAGUGUGGUGGGAGUUCCAGAAGGGCUGGAACUGCAGAGAGCUGAGAUAAGAGCCCUACCCCUUCCUUGGUGCCGUGAGCACGAGAUGAAGGAUGAAGAGGAACUCAAGAUGCUGUCAAGAUUUCCCUUUGUACAUAUCUGAUCAGUUCAUGCCAGCUUUGGCUCCGUGCCUUUCCAGGGGAGAGCCUCCACCAGCAGGACAAGGUGGUUCAGCCCUCGGCGCAGCAAUGGAGACAGGAUUAGGAGCUGGGCUGGGGAUGGCUCCCACUCCACAAGGCAUGGGAUCUGUGAGAAAUACCUUGGGAAGACAUUGUCAGAGGUGUGCCUUUUUCUGGAGAGGAGUAAGCAGCUGCCUCUCAGCUGGACUUCUCGUCGCCAUUGCUGGGAUUACCAGGAUAGCAGCAAGACACAUGGAGGUCUCCCAGGGAGGCAGGAGACCACCUGGCUGAGGGACUUUGCUGUGCUCAGAGCCCGGGGCACCAGCACCUCCGU